GGAAGCGUGGCAGAGCGGCCUAAUGCAGUCGCCUUGAAAGCGACCGAGGUGAUGAGCCUCCGGGGGUUCGAAUCCCCCCGCUUCCG
This 86-nucleotide transfer RNA is filed under the name Allosaccharopolyspora coralli. It matches the Rfam family "tRNA". Rfam says of the family: Transfer RNA (tRNA) molecules are approximately 80 nucleotides in length. Their secondary structure includes four short double-helical elements and three loops (D, anti-codon, and T loops). Further hydrogen bonds mediate the characteristic L-shaped molecular structure. tRNAs have two regions of fundamental functional importance: the anti-codon, which is responsible for specific mRNA codon recognition, and the 3' end, to which the tRNAs corresponding amino acid is attached (by aminoacyl-tRNA synthetases). tRNAs cope with the degeneracy of the genetic code in two manners: having more than one tRNA (with a specific anti-codon) for a particular amino acid; and 'wobble' base-pairing, i.e. permitting non-standard base-pairing at the 3rd anti-codon position. The record is from Rfam by way of RNAcentral. Lineage: Bacteria; Bacillati; Actinomycetota; Actinomycetes; Pseudonocardiales; Pseudonocardiaceae.